UACGGAGGGUGCAAGCGUUACUCGGAAUCACUGGGCGUAAAGCGCGCGCAGGCGGCUUUGUAAGUUGGAUGUGAAAUCCUAUGGCUCAACCAUAGAACUGCAUCCAAAACUACUUAGCUAGAGUCUGGGAGGGGAAGAUGGAAUUAGUGGUGUAGGGGUAAAAUCCGUAGAGAUCACUAGGAAUACCAAAAGCGAAGGCGAUCUUCUGGAACAGUACUGACGCUGAGGCGCGAAAGCGUGGGGAGCAAACAGGAUUAGAUACCCUGGUAGUCCACGCCCUAAACGAUGAAUGUUAGUCGUCGGGUAGCUAGUCUAUUCGGUGAUGCAGUUAACACAUUAAACAUUCCGCCUGGGGAGUACGGUCGCAAGAUUAAAACUCAAAGGAAUAGACGGGGACCCGCACAAGUGGUGGAGCAUGUGGUUUAAUUCGAAGAUACGCGAAGAACCUUACCUGGCCUUGACAUUGAUAGAAUCUGCUAGAGAUAGCGGAGUGCCUUUCGGGGAGCUUGAAAACAGGUGCUGCACGGCUGUCGUCAGCUCGUGUCGUGGGAUGUUGGGUUAAGUCCCGCAACGAGCGCAACCCUCGUUCCUAGUUACUAACGGUUCGGCCGAGGACUCUAAGAAGACUGCCUUCGCAAGGAGGAGGAAGGUGAGGACGACGUCAAGUCAUCAUGGCCCUUACGGCCAGGGCAACACACGUGCUACAAUGGGUAGGACAAUGAGACGCGAUACCGCGAGGUGGAGCAAAUCUAUAAACCUAUUCUCAGUUCGGAUUGUAGUCUGCAACUCGACUACAUGAAGCUGGAAUCACUAGUAAUCGUAGAUCAGCUAUGCUACGGUGAAUACGUUCCCGGGUCU
RNAcentral lists this ribosomal RNA (858 nucleotides) under uncultured bacterium. RNAcentral's name for it is "SSU rRNA". It matches the Rfam family "Bacterial small subunit ribosomal RNA", at positions 524 to 1381 of the family's 1533-position model. The record is from RNAcentral.